This 386-nucleotide ribosomal RNA is filed under the name Picochlorum sp. Its description in RNAcentral is "partial small subunit ribosomal RNA". It matches the Rfam family "Eukaryotic small subunit ribosomal RNA", at positions 582 to 975 of the family's 1831-position model. The record is from RNAcentral. Lineage: Eukaryota; Viridiplantae; Chlorophyta; Trebouxiophyceae.
AUUCCAGCUCCAAUAGCGUAUAUUUAAGUUGCUGCAGUUAAAAAGCUCGUAGUUGGAUUUCGGGUGGGAAUGGCCGGUCCGCCGUUUCGGUGUGCACUUGCUACGCCCACCUUGCUGCCGGGGACGUGCUCUUGAGUUUGCGCUCGGGACACGGAGUCGGCGAGGUUACUUUGAGUAAAUUAGAGUGUUCAAAGCAGGCCUACGCUCUGAAUACAUUAGCAUGGAAUAACACGAUAGGACUCUGGCCUAUCUUGUUGGUCUGUAGGACCGGAGUAAUGAUUAAGAGGGACAGUCGGGGGCAUUCGUAUUUCAUUGUCAGAGGUGAAAUUCUUGGAUUUAUGAAAGACGAACUACUGCGAAAGCAUUUGCCAAGGAUGUUUUCAUCG